GAUGAACGCUAGCUACAGGCUUAACACAUGCAAGUCGCGGGGCAGCAUGGGGGUUGCUUGCAACCCCUGAUGGCGACCGGCGCACGGGUGAGUAACGCGUAUCCAACCUGCCCUUCACCACGGGAUAACCCGGCGAAAGUCGGACUAAUACCGUAUGUUGUCCAUUGACGGCAUCCGAUUCGGACGACAGGCUUGGCGGUGGAAGGAUGGGGAUGCGUCCGAUUAGCUUGACGGCGGGGUAACGGCCCACCGUGGCUACGAUCGGUAGGGGUUCUGAGAGGAAGGUCCCCCACACUGGAACUGAGACACGGUCCAGACUCCUACGGGAGGCAGCAGUGAGGAAUAUUGGUCAAUGGGCGUAAGCCUGAACCAGCCAAGUAGCGUGCAGGAUGACGGCCCUAUGGGUUGUAAACUGCUUUUAUGCGGGGAUAAAGUGGCCCACGUGUGGGCUUUUGCAGGUACCGCAUGAAUAAGGACCGGCUAAUUCCGUG
Molecule: ribosomal RNA, 491 nt
Filed under: uncultured bacterium
Lineage: Bacteria
Description: partial 16S ribosomal RNA
Rfam family: Bacterial small subunit ribosomal RNA
Source: RNAcentral